This 33-nucleotide non-coding RNA is filed under the name unclassified sequences. The record is from RNAcentral.
GGGGCGAAAUCCGAAAAGCCAUAUGAGUAGGAA